Molecule: ribosomal RNA, 386 nt
Filed under: uncultured archaeon
Lineage: Archaea
Description: bacterial SSU rRNA
Rfam family: Archaeal small subunit ribosomal RNA
Source: RNAcentral
CGCAGCAGUCGCGAAAACUUCACAAUGGAGGCAACUCCGAUGAGGGAAUUCCUAGUGCCAAUGCAUUUUGUGUUGGCUUUUCUUCAGCGUAGAUAACUGAUGGAAUAAGGGCUGGGUAAGACGGGUGCCAGCCGCCGCGGUAAUACCCGCAGCCCAAGUGGUGGCCGAUAUUAUUGAGUCUAAAACGUUCGUAGCCGGUUCAAUAAAUCUCUGGGUAAAUCGGAGGGCUUAACCUUCCGAAUUCCGGAGCGACUGUUGAACUUGGGACCGGGAGAGGCAAGAGGUACUUCUGGGGUAGGGGUAAAAUCCUGUAAUCCUAGAAGGACCACCGGUGGCGAAGGCGUCUUGCUAGAACGGAUCCGAUGGUGAGGGACGAAGCCCUGGGU